This is a long non-coding RNA of Thalassophryne amazonica, 140 nucleotides long. RefSeq lists it as uncharacterized. Lineage: Eukaryota; Metazoa; Chordata; Actinopteri; Batrachoidiformes; Batrachoididae. The record is from RefSeq and is a predicted model, not a curated record. The transcript has 3 exons.
CAGUCCCUUCUCUGUUAAAACAUGGGCCCAGGCAGCUCCCUCAGCCACAAAGCGCAUUGGUUCACUUUACAAUCAAGCAAUCAAAAUUAUGGACAGAAAACCAAUCCAUCAUCACCAGUGUCAAAUCCUCCACAAACAUA